Molecule: ribosomal RNA, 275 nt
Filed under: uncultured bacterium
Lineage: Bacteria
Description: partial 16S ribosomal RNA
Rfam family: Bacterial small subunit ribosomal RNA
Source: RNAcentral
CCUACGGGGGGCUGCAGUGGGGAAUUUUCCGCAAUGGGCGAAAGCCUGACGGAGCAAUACCGCGUGCGGGAGGACGCCCUUUGGGGUGUAAACCGCUUUUGUGAGGGAAGAAGUUCUGACGGUACCUCACGAAUCAGCCUCGGCUAACUCCGUGCCAGCAGCCGCGGUAAGACGGAGGAGGCAAGCGUUAUCCGGAAUUAUUGGGCGUAAAGCGUCCGCAGGUGGCGGCUCAAGUCUGCUGUCAAAGUCCAGGGCUCAACUCUGGGAAGGCAGUG